This 468-nucleotide ribosomal RNA is filed under the name uncultured bacterium. RNAcentral's name for it is "partial 16S ribosomal RNA". It matches the Rfam family "Bacterial small subunit ribosomal RNA", at positions 28 to 507 of the family's 1533-position model. The record is from RNAcentral.
GACGAACGCUGGCGGCGUGCUUAACACAUGCAAGUCGAACGGACAGGCCCUGAUCUUGCGGGGUGCUCGAGUGGCGAACGGGUGAGUAACACGCGUGUAACAUGUCCUUGUCUUUGGGAUAUCAUCUGGAAACUGGGGCUAAUAUCGGAUAGGAGCUCUUGCUGCAUGGUGGGGGUUGGUAAGAUUCGGCGGUUGGGGCUGGACUCGCGGGUUCCCAGCUUGUUGGUGGGGUAGUGGCUUACCAAGGCUUUGAAGGAUAGGCGGCCUGGGAGGGUGACCGGCCACAAUGGGACUGAGGUACGGCGCAGUCGCCAACGGGAGGCAGCAGUGGGGAAUAUGACACAGUAGGCGGAAGCCUGAUACGGCAACGCCGCGUGCGUGAUGACGUCUUACGGGGUGUAAACCGCUUUCUCCUGUGACGAAGCGUGAGUGACGGUAAUGAGUAAAGAAGCACCGGCUAACUACGUG